This 224-nucleotide unclassified non-coding RNA is filed under the name Hevea brasiliensis (rubber tree). Lineage: Eukaryota; Viridiplantae; Streptophyta; Magnoliopsida; Malpighiales; Euphorbiaceae. The record is from RNAcentral.
UGAAACUAUACAACGCUAACACGUUAACAGGUUUCUAGAAAAUUUGUCUUCAUCAACUUAAAUCUGGAUGCAAAUUACAAAAGGAAAGAAUUAUGAUCUGAUUAGCAAAUGUUGCACCGAAAAUGCAUAGAAAAUCGAAAAACUGAAACAGCAAGAAACAAUGAAGAAAGUAGGUAUAAUCUCAGGAAACGUGGAAAAGAAAAAUGACAAAGCGAGCCUAACAG